GGUUUCCUACGGGGGGCAGCAGUGAGGAAUAUUGGUCAAUGGGCUUACGCCUGAACCAGCCAAGUCGCGUGAGGGAAGACUGCCCGAUGGGUUGUAAACCUCUUUUGUCAGGGAGCAACGCCGGCUACGUGUAGCCGGACUGAGAGUACCUGAAGAAAAAGCAUCGGCUAACUCCGUACCAGCAGCCGCGGUAAUACGGAGGAUGCGAGCGUUAUCCGGCUUUAUUGGGUUUAAAGGGUGCGUAGGCGGAAUGCCAAGUCAGCGGUAAAAUAGCGGGGCUCAACCUCGCUCAGCCGUUGAAACUG
Molecule: ribosomal RNA, 305 nt
Filed under: uncultured bacterium
Lineage: Bacteria
Description: bacterial SSU rRNA
Rfam family: Bacterial small subunit ribosomal RNA
Source: RNAcentral